RNAcentral lists this non-coding RNA (30 nucleotides) under Mus musculus (house mouse). The record is from RNAcentral. Lineage: Eukaryota; Metazoa; Chordata; Mammalia; Rodentia; Muridae.
UCUAUAGUAGAUCAGGCUGGCUUUGAACUC